GAUUUCUGACAUGACGUACCUGGCCCGCCACCAAAAGGUGUGUGAGUGCUGGGUUGCGUUUGUCAUCCUUCCAAGGAGCUGCUCUGCCCUUCACUGGGUUGGAGUAGUCACUUGGAUCUUUUACUUUGAAAAAAUUAGAGUGUUUAAAGCAGGCUUUUGCUAUGAAUACAUUAGCAUGGAAUAAUAAUUUAGGACUUCGGUUCUAUUUUGUUGGUUUCUAGGACUGAAGUAAUGAUUGAUAGGGAUAGUUGGGGGUGCUAGUAUUCAGCGGCCAGAGGUGAAAUUCUCGGAUUCGCUGAAGACUAACUUAUGCGAAAGCAUU
This 322-nucleotide ribosomal RNA is filed under the name Allapsidae sp. Its description in RNAcentral is "SSU rRNA". The stretch from base 107 to 322 matches the Rfam family "Eukaryotic small subunit ribosomal RNA", at positions 738 to 955 of the family's 1831-position model. Lineage: Eukaryota; Cercozoa; Glissomonadida; Viridiraptoridae. RNAcentral also lists the same sequence under 1 other name. The record is from RNAcentral.